GGCAAUAUAUAGCCACGUUCACGUGCGUCUCCUGGAACAGGUUUAAAAAAGGAAUUGAAAAAAUGGAAAAUAUUUGCAGCACACAGGGGUGUGACCACACCCCCUUCUGUACUGCCACAUAGUGUAUUUUUCCAGAACAGAAAACCACAAGGAGAGGAUGACAAUUAAACAAGAAAUGAGAAUUAAUUUGAAAAGUUUGUAGGGGAGAAGACGCGAGGGGAAGUUUUGAAAGUGGUGAACAGCUGGAGUUCUGAAAACACCCAAACAGACGGGCUGCGGAGCUGAGAACAAACUGCCAGCCAGAGCGGAACGGUGCGGACUGCGGGACAGGAAGGUCACUGCCAAACAGAUGAAAGAGCCUCAGUGGCAGCUUCCUUGGGCUGUUGGAGUUAAAAGGCAACGGUCCACACAGGCUUGUCGAAAGCAACUGGAAUAACUGGACAUGGCAAAAACGAAAUGAAGAGAAGUUGUCGAACAUCCCGAAGAUCACCUUAACUCAUAAUCAAGUCUGAAACAGAACAAAUUUGGCACAGUGUGUGCGGCUCGUGCCAAGCGGUGAUGCGGCGUUCGCUUCCGGAAGGUUCUGGACAGAACCUCGGGGCAGGGUUCCUAAGUUGAUGAAAGGAGUAACGGGAGUGUCGCGCUGUCAGGACAAAGCGAUGCCUCAAGGUCUGCAGAUUGAC
RNAcentral lists this long non-coding RNA (683 nucleotides) under Scleropages formosus (Asian bonytongue). RNAcentral's name for it is "lncRNA (ENSSFOG00015024721.1)". The record is from RNAcentral. Lineage: Eukaryota; Metazoa; Chordata; Actinopteri; Osteoglossiformes; Osteoglossidae.